RNAcentral lists this small nucleolar RNA (106 nucleotides) under Nannospalax galili (Upper Galilee mountains blind mole rat). RNAcentral describes it as "Small nucleolar RNA SNORA81 (ENSNGAG00000006655.1)". It matches the Rfam family "Small nucleolar RNA SNORA81". The record is from RNAcentral. Lineage: Eukaryota; Metazoa; Chordata; Mammalia; Rodentia; Spalacidae.
GACUUCUUUUUGCUACCAAACCAUUUUGCUGCACUGAAUCCCAGCCUGGGGUGGACCACUUUGUUAAUGUCUAGGGCCCUUUGUCUGAAGAUUUGGUGCAAUAUAU